GGACGAGGCGAUUGGAGGCGGGAUGGGGCUCUUGGGGCUCGAUUGAUGUCUGAAGCUCCGUCGAUCGGUCUCGUCCGAUUCUCUGGCCGGGCUCGUCGAGUGAGUUUUUUGCAGCCAUCGAGCUUCCGGAUCUGCUUCCUCGCAGACCCUUUCUCGUGCAUUAGCCCUGCUCCACGGAAAAUCUGUUGCUCUCGGGGCGCUUUCUCGCUCUACUUCGGGUCACAUCUGAAGAAGGAGGGUCGUUCAAGGGGCUAGGGAUCUGAGCCGACACAGAAACGUACGAGUUCAGUUCUGCCGAAACUAAUGUAUGCAAGUCGUGAAGCGGCUGACUGCACAGGUUGAAAGUACGUGGAGUUUCUGUUACUUCAGCAUUGCGAAGCAUGCAGCUGUCAGUCACUGCAGAUAACUCUGAGGCCACCACAAGAUUUCACUCUGUCUUUCUCUCUGCGCCGAGCUUGUGAUGCCUCGAAUAUAAGCAGGCGAUCGGAUCGGACCUCCCUAACCGUCGAUAAUUCAUGAAAUACGAGCGACAGUGAAAUCGAGAACAGCUGUAAGCUUAUCCUGACAGGAACGUCUGCUCGUGCGAUCUCGCCUGAAAAUUGAUCACUCGCGUACUGCCGAAGCUCACGGCACUCGAACGAGAACACGAAUCGGCCGCAUCCCUGAGUCAUUCCACUUCGAUUCCUCUUGUCCUUU
Molecule: microRNA precursor, 696 nt
Filed under: Marchantia polymorpha subsp. ruderalis
Lineage: Eukaryota; Viridiplantae; Streptophyta; Marchantiopsida; Marchantiales; Marchantiaceae
Source: RNAcentral